UAGUACUGUAUCCUUGCAGCUGUUUAUUAUUUACUUUGAUAUUGACUCUGCCACCUGAUUACAUCACUUCCUGGUCCUGAGAGGAAGCAGCCGUUUCUGUUGUAACAGUCAUUUUGCCAGGGCUGGUGAAAUCAGCACCCGCACUCAUCUCUAAGCAAGCCUAUCCAAGCAUCGUUGGCGGAUUUCAAUAAAUUGCUCCUGUGAUCAUACAAGCACUCACCAGUUGACUGGCAAUGGAUCACCAGAAUGUUAGCCAUUUCAGCAAACUUAACACUGUCUGGCAACUUUUUGAUUUCCUUCAAGAACUCUCCAAGUGACACUUCACACCUGCAAGGAAACAUGAGGAUCAUGAGAUGAGAGCUAGUGCCAAUAUUCAGAAGGAAAACACUUCUGCUGCAAAGCACCAAUACAUUAUUUAGAGCACAUAAUUUCAAGUGAAUCUUGUUUUCUAUAAAGAUCCAGUAACACCAUAAAGCAUA
Long non-coding RNA from Xenopus tropicalis (tropical clawed frog), 479 nucleotides. RefSeq lists it as uncharacterized. Lineage: Eukaryota; Metazoa; Chordata; Amphibia; Anura; Pipidae. The record is from RefSeq and is a predicted model, not a curated record. The transcript is spliced from 2 exons.